Molecule: ribosomal RNA, 217 nt
Filed under: Staphylococcus sp. 10602379
Lineage: Bacteria; Bacillati; Bacillota; Bacilli; Caryophanales; Staphylococcaceae
Description: partial 16S ribosomal RNA
Rfam family: Bacterial small subunit ribosomal RNA
Source: RNAcentral
UUUAUGGAGAGUUUGAUCCUGGCUCAGGAUGAACGCUGGCGGCGUGCCUAAUACAUGCAAGUCGAGCGAACUGACGAGGAGCUUGCUCCUUUGACGUUAGCGGCGGACGGGUGAGUAACACGUGGGUAACCUACCUAUAAGACUGGAAUAACUCCGGGAAACCGGGGCUAAUGCCGGAUAACAUGUUGAACCGCAUGGUUCAACAGUGAAAGACGGU